AUGGUCACACCAACCGAUUCGCCGUUUUGGAAAGGACUGAUGAGAGUGAAAUCAGCAUUCUUCGAUAGGGCAAAAUUCAUUAUUGGUAGUGUUACUUCCAUGAGAUUCUGGGAGGAUACGUGGUUAGGGGAGAUGCCUCUAGCUACCCAAUAUCCUUCUCUCUAUAAUAUUGUUCAGCGUAGAGAUGCUUACGUUGCAACAGUACUACAGUCCAACCCUCUCAAUAUUCAAUUCAGGAGGACUUUAGUGGGGAACCAUGCUUGGAUCCAUCUUGUGAUAAGAUUGAUGGAUGUUUACCUAUCUCAACAGCCAGACCAGUUGCACUGGAAACUAACUCAAAAUGGAGUGUCUUCGGUAAAAUCCAUGUAUUUGGAUAUUAUUAACUCUGGCACUAUCCCUCGAUCUUUGCAUAUUUGGAAAGUCAAAGUGCCCUUAAAAAUUAAAGUAUUAAUGUGGUUUGUCCACAAGCAAGUCAUUCUUACUAAGGACAAUUUGGCAAAAAGUAACUGGACAGGAUCGCGAAGAUGUAGUUUCUGCAAACAUGAUGAAUCUGUCAAACACCUCUUUCUUGAUUGCCCAAUGGCAAAAAAAUUAUGGCGGUCUAUUCACAUAGCGUUUAACAUUAAUCCUACGAAUACCAUCCACACGUUAUUUGGGACGUGGCUGGAUGGAGUACAAUCAGAUACCACGAAACUUACUCGUGUAGGAGUAUGUGCUUUAUUAUGGGCCAUAUGGAAUUGCAGGAAAGAUUUGGUUUUUAACAGAACAUCACAUAUUCAUUUCUUGCAGGUUAUUUUUCAGGCCACUACACUGAUAUGUAUGUGGUCGCUACUCACUCCGAUGGAUGCCAAGGAGCAUAUGGUCACUAGGUCUAUCCGUUGGGAGACGGUAGCACGGGCUAUCUUCAACCGGUUUGGAUGGCGGUCAUGUAAUAGGAUAGGUGUCUAG
RNAcentral lists this ribosomal RNA (948 nucleotides) under Triticum aestivum (bread wheat). RNAcentral's name for it is "partial small subunit ribosomal RNA". The record is from RNAcentral. Lineage: Eukaryota; Viridiplantae; Streptophyta; Magnoliopsida; Poales; Poaceae.